GAAAGCCUAAGGUUUCCUGAGCAACGCUCGUCGACUCAGGGUAAGUCGGGACCUAAGCCGAGGCGGAAAAGCGUAGGCGAUGGACAACAGGUUGAAAUUCCUGUACUAUCCUGUAACAGAACUGUGGGGACGCAGAAAGAGAGCGUGAGCCGGGAAUGGAAAGACCGGUGCAAGCGAGGUAGGAGUCACAUAGGAAAAACCGUGUGGCAAUCCAAAGGCGUGAUGCGGAGCGAACUGAAGUAGCGAAGUAUGUGAGCCAUGCGUCGAGAAAAGCCGCUAUUGUUCAUGCUGUACCCGUACCGUAAACCGACACAGGUAGUCAAGGAGAGAAUCCUGAGGUGCUCGAGUGAUUCAUGGCUAAGGAACUAGGCAAAAUGACCCUGUAACUUCGGGAGAAAGGGUGCCUGGGAAACCAGGCCGCAGAGAAUAGGCUCAAGCAACUGUUUAGCAAAAACACAGGUCUAUGCGAAACCGAAAGGUGAGGUAUAUGGGCUGACGCCUGCCCGGUGCUGGAAGGUUAAGAGGAGAGGUUAGCGCAAGCGAAGCUUUGAACUUAAGCCCCAGUAAACGGCGGCCGUAACAAUAACGGUCCUAAGGUAG
RNAcentral lists this ribosomal RNA (600 nucleotides) under Cyclophora tenuis. Its description in RNAcentral is "partial Bacterial large subunit ribosomal RNA". It matches the Rfam family "Bacterial large subunit ribosomal RNA", at positions 1339 to 1959 of the family's 2925-position model. The record is from RNAcentral. Lineage: Eukaryota; Bacillariophyta; Fragilariophyceae; Cyclophorales; Cyclophoraceae.